AAACAGACAAACCAUGGAUUUUCGUGUCCAACGUUUGACCGUCCGUCUUAUUUGAAAAAAUUAUAAAAAAAUUUUAAAAGACAAGUCAUGCAUAAAAUAUUAAUCAUGUUUUAUCAAUAUCUAACAAUAAUGAAAAUACUAAUUAUAAAAAAAUUUCAUAUAAGACGGACAGUCAAAUGUUGGACACGGAAACCCAAUGUUUGUCUUUUU
Non-coding RNA from Oryza nivara, 210 nucleotides. Lineage: Eukaryota; Viridiplantae; Streptophyta; Magnoliopsida; Poales; Poaceae. The record is from Rfam.